GCCACCAUCGUCUAGUGGUUAGGACACAUGGUUCUCAGCCAUGUAACUGGGGUUCAACUCCCCAUGGUGGUA
This 72-nucleotide transfer RNA is filed under the name bacterium. Its description in RNAcentral is "tRNA-Glu". It matches the Rfam family "tRNA". From Rfam's summary of the family: Transfer RNA (tRNA) molecules are approximately 80 nucleotides in length. Their secondary structure includes four short double-helical elements and three loops (D, anti-codon, and T loops). Further hydrogen bonds mediate the characteristic L-shaped molecular structure. tRNAs have two regions of fundamental functional importance: the anti-codon, which is responsible for specific mRNA codon recognition, and the 3' end, to which the tRNAs corresponding amino acid is attached (by aminoacyl-tRNA synthetases). tRNAs cope with the degeneracy of the genetic code in two manners: having more than one tRNA (with a specific anti-codon) for a particular amino acid; and 'wobble' base-pairing, i.e. permitting non-standard base-pairing at the 3rd anti-codon position. The record is from RNAcentral. RNAcentral also lists the same sequence under 1 other name.